This 1034-nucleotide ribosomal RNA is filed under the name Bacillus velezensis. Its description in RNAcentral is "bacterial SSU rRNA". It matches the Rfam family "Bacterial small subunit ribosomal RNA", at positions 45 to 1059 of the family's 1533-position model. The record is from RNAcentral. Lineage: Bacteria; Bacillati; Bacillota; Bacilli; Caryophanales; Bacillaceae.
UGCCGGUCUAUCAUGCAGUCGAGCGGACAGAUGGGAGCUUGCUCCCUGAUGUUAGCGGCGGACGGGUGAGUAACACGUGGGUAACCUGCCUGUAAGACUGGGAUAACUCCGGGAAACCGGGGCUAAUACCGGAUGGUUGUCUGAACCGCAUGGUUCAGACAUAAAAGGUGGCUUCGGCUACCACUUACAGAUGGACCCGCGGCGCAUUAGCUAGUUGGUGAGGUAACGGCUCACCAAGGCGACGAUGCGUAGCCGACCUGAGAGGGUGAUCGGCCACACUGGGACUGAGACACGGCCCAGACUCCUACGGGAGGCAGCAGUAGGGAAUCUUCCGCAAUGGACGAAAGUCUGACGGAGCAACGCCGCGUGAGUGAUGAAGGUUUUCGGAUCGUAAAGCUCUGUUGUUAGGGAAGAACAAGUGCCGUUCAAAUAGGGCGGCACCUUGACGGUACCUAACCAGAAAGCCACGGCUAACUACGUGCCAGCAGCCGCGGUAAUACGUAGGUGGCAAGCGUUGUCCGGAAUUAUUGGGCGUAAAGGGCUCGCAGGCGGUUUCUUAAGUCUGAUGUGAAAGCCCCCGGCUCAACCGGGGAGGGUCAUUGGAAACUGGGGAACUUGAGUGCAGAAGAGGAGAGUGGAAUUCCACGUGUAGCGGUGAAAUGCGUAGAGAUGUGGAGGAACACCAGUGGCGAAGGCGACUCUCUGGUCUGUAACUGACGCUGAGGAGCGAAAGCGUGGGGAGCGAACAGGAUUAGAUACCCUGGUAGUCCACGCCGUAAACGAUGAGUGCUAAGUGGUUAGGGGGUUUCCGCCCCUUAGUGCUGCAGCUAACGCAUUAAGCACUCCGCCUGGGGGAGUACGGUCGCAAGACUGAAACUCAAAGGAAUUGACGGGGGCCCGCACAAGCGGUGGGAGCAUGGGGGUUAAUUCGAAGCAACGCGAAGAACCUUACCAGGGCUUGACUCCUCUGACAUCCCUAAAGAUAGGACGUCCCCUUCGGGGGCAAAGGGAAGGGGGGGGAUGGUUGCCCCAGC